GUUUUAUUCCUUUUUUUUACUGCAUCCUCUUUGUCCUCCGUCUUCAAAAUGACGUUUGAGUUUGAAACAGUUUCACUUUCUCUUUUGACCCUGUU
Molecule: long non-coding RNA, 95 nt
Organism: Anguilla anguilla (European eel)
Lineage: Eukaryota; Metazoa; Chordata; Actinopteri; Anguilliformes; Anguillidae
Exons: 3
Source: RefSeq, a predicted model, not a curated record